UACGUAGGGUGCGAGCGUUAAUCGGAAUUACUGGGCGUAAAGCGUGCGUAGGCGGUUCGUUAAGUUCGUUGUGAAAGCCCCGGGCUCAACCUGGGAACUGCAAUGGAAACUGGCGGGCUUGAGUGUGGCAGAGGGGGGUGGAAUUCCACGUGUAGCAGUGAAAUGCGUAGAGAUGUGGAGGAACACCGAUGGCGAAGGCAGCCCCCUGGGUCAACACUGACGCUCAUGCACGAAAGCGUGGGGAGCAAACAGG
RNAcentral lists this ribosomal RNA (253 nucleotides) under uncultured bacterium. RNAcentral's name for it is "partial 16S ribosomal RNA". It matches the Rfam family "Bacterial small subunit ribosomal RNA", at positions 524 to 776 of the family's 1533-position model. The record is from RNAcentral.